RNAcentral lists this ribosomal RNA (228 nucleotides) under uncultured bacterium. RNAcentral describes it as "partial 16S ribosomal RNA". It matches the Rfam family "Bacterial small subunit ribosomal RNA", at positions 102 to 334 of the family's 1533-position model. The record is from RNAcentral.
ACGGGUGAGUAACGCGUGGGAACAUACCCCUCGGUUCGGAAUAACUCAGGGAAACUUGAGCUAAUACCGGAUAAGUCCGAGGUUUAAUCAACCUUGGAGAAAGAUUUAUCGCCGGAGGAUUGGCCCGCGUCUGAUUAGCUUGUUGGUGAGGUAAUGGCUCACCAAGGCGACGAUCAGUAGCUGGUCUGAGAGGAUGAUCAGCCACAUUGGGACUGAGACACGGCCCAA